UACGUAGGGUGCAAGCGUUAAUCGGAAUUACUGGGCGUAAAGCGUGCGCAGGCGGUCUUUUAAGUCAGAUGUGAAAUCCCCGGGCUUAACCUGGGAACUGCGUUUGAAACUGGAAGGCUAGAGUGUGGCAGAGGGGGGUGGAAUUCCACGUGUAGCAGUGAAAUGCGUAGAGAUGUGGAGGAACACCGAUGGCGAAGGCAGCCCCCUGGGCUGACACUGACGCUCAUGCACGAAAGCGUGGGGAGCAAACAGG
This 253-nucleotide ribosomal RNA is filed under the name uncultured bacterium. RNAcentral's name for it is "partial 16S ribosomal RNA". It matches the Rfam family "Bacterial small subunit ribosomal RNA", at positions 524 to 776 of the family's 1533-position model. The record is from RNAcentral.